RNAcentral lists this ribosomal RNA (714 nucleotides) under Staphylococcus epidermidis. RNAcentral describes it as "bacterial SSU rRNA". It matches the Rfam family "Bacterial small subunit ribosomal RNA", at positions 62 to 757 of the family's 1533-position model. Lineage: Bacteria; Bacillati; Bacillota; Bacilli; Caryophanales; Staphylococcaceae. The record is from RNAcentral.
UCGAGCGAACAGACGAGGAGCUUGCUCCUCUGACGUUAGCGGCGGACGGGUGAGUAACACGUGGAUAACCUACCUAUAAGACUGGGAUAACUUCGGGAAACCGGAGCUAAUACCGGAUAAUAUAUUGAACCGCAUGGUUCAAUAGUGAAAGACGGUUUUGCUGUCACUUAUAGAUGGAUCCGCGCCGCAUUAGCUAGUUGGUAAGGUAACGGCUUACCAAGGCAACGAUGCGUAGCCGACCUGAGAGGGUGAUCGGCCACACUGGAACUGAGACACGGUCCAGACUCCUACGGGAGGCAGCAGUAGGGAAUCUUCCGCAAUGGGCGAAAGCCUGACGGAGCAACGCCGCGUGAGUGAUGAAGGUCUUCGGAUCGUAAAACUCUGUUAUUAGGGAAGAACAAAUGUGUAAGUAACUAUGCACGUCUUGACGGUACCUAAUCAGAAAGCCACGGCUAACUACGUGCCAGCAGCCGCGGUAAUACGUAGGUGGCAAGCGUUAUCCGGAAUUAUUGGGCGUAAAGCGCGCGUAGGCGGUUUUUUAAGUCUGAUGUGAAAGCCCACGGCUCAACCGUGGAGGGUCAUUGGAAACUGGAAAACUUGAGUGCAGAAGAGGAAAGUGGAAUUCCAUGUGUAGCGGUGAAAUGCGCAGAGAUAUGGAGGAACACCAGUGGCGAAAGGCGACUUUCUGGUCUGUAACUGACGCUGAUGUGCGAA